CCACUGCACCUCUGGCCGCUGGGAAGUCACAUUGAGGUCGCCGUUCUUCUGCCGCCGCCGCUGUCGGGGUUUCUGGUCAAUGGGUAUGGCGCUGUUGUUGCCGGAACCACCACCGGUGCUGCCGCUACUUGUUUCCCUUAAGUCUGAGUCGUUGUAGUUGCUGAGAAAGUGAUUUGGAGCUGAGGUUGUGGCUGCCGCAAAUUUCGGGUUGAGAGGAAAGGUUCCGUCGGUGCGUUUGGAUUAUAGUUUCAACAAUCGAGAACUAUAACCAGCUCUAUCUUGUCGCUACUCCGGUUCAAAUUCUACGCUCAUUCGUUCCAUUCCACUUCAAUCCUCCUUACCUUGAAUUUGGCACUCUGGGUUUGGUAUCUUCGGUCCCUAAGGACUACGUUGUGAGUAGGCUUUACAUUUAUGAUUGUUUGAUUGUGCAUCUACAAUUAUUUUGAUAUAUAUAUAUAUAUAUCUAUUAUGAUCUUUGAAUUAUAGCUAUAUUUGCUUUGAACGAUUUUGAAUUGAUUAAAAUAAUUGAUUUAUUAGAAUUAAAUAACUCAUUUUUAUGAAGUUUAUACUUUUAGAACUAUACAUGAGACUAUAUAUAUUUUUGAUGAAGUUUUGCAUUAUUCUAAAAUGUUUGAUUUUAUUUGAAUAUUUGUUUUUGAAGAAUUGAAGUAUUUGUUGACACUCACUUUAAAAAUUGUGAAAUAUAUUUGAAAUCUCUUAUGGUUGAAAAAGUAUGAUUGAGAAAAGAUUUAUGAUGAAAAAGUAUUAUCUGAUUUGAUUUGAUUUGAUAUGAUUUGAUUCGAUACCUUAUAUAUUUGAAAGAUCAAAUAUUUGUUGUAUUUGAAAUUGUAUAUUUUGAAUUGGUUUGGGAGGCUCGUAUUAGAAAACCGUAGUUAACGGCGGUUAUGACGUUAACUUAGAUGCAUCUAACUCAGACUCCAGCUAGCAGGGGUGUUGCUAGCCUAACGUGUAGGCCACACGUUAGAUCUGUUAUUCUGUUAGGACACACAAGAGGAAAGGGCUACCCAUAGAGGUGGAGCCGCCCAAGUGUGGACUUUUGAUUUGAUUUCUGUAUGAGAACUCCCUUAUUGAUUCACUUAUUAUUAUCAACUAUUACUUUCUAAUUAAAAUUACUUUAAUGAUAAUGUUUGUAUAGUUUCAUGUUAAUUAUAGAUGUAUUGUUUAGUCACUCAGUUGCAAAACUCACCCCGUUUUUCUAAAAAUAUUUUUCAAGAACAAAUAUUUGACUGUGUGAGACUUUCUAUUCAAGAGUAACAGUCUGCAAUGAGUACCUAUUCUUUGUCAAUUCCUAGAAGUAUAUGCUCCAUAUGUCACAGGUAGGACCAACCAUUCUUAGUUUAUUAUUUGUUGCUGAAUUGGUGACUGAUGUGACUGUAACUAGGUAAUCUUGGUUAUUAUCUUGUAAAAAUUUCUAUUGAAAGGCGGUAAUAAACCCUCUUAAUUGCUUGUGUUGUUGUUGGAGAUUAUAUGCCUGAUUUGUAGUUAUAUAUGGCGGAUUAAUAAAUGUUUUGAUUUCUUUGAUACGAUCAGGACUUGAUAAUUUCGAAUUGAAGUUUGUCAUGAUAAACUUGUGAUCUGUACAAUACUUUUGUGACACACUUGAGCAUCUGAAUUUUUUUCCCUUCAAAAUUAAUUAUUUUAUUGACUAGAAAAGUUGUUCCAACUCUCUCAGCAUGUUGUUCUAAAGUUUACUCAAUAUUAUCUCAUUGGUGGUCCAUUAUAUGAUGCUUAACGUAAAAGUUAGUUACUCUAGUCAGCACUAUAAGAUUUAUGUAAAAAUGUUUAGUAUUGCAUUCACAUUCUCAAUAAAAAAAUGUUUAAUGACCUUGCCUUGUUUAUUUUUCUUUUUUCUACAUUGUUUUCUUUUAAAAAAAAAAAAACCUAAUUAAUUUUUAACAUGUCAAAACUAUCAAGUAUUGUGCUUAUCAUAUAAUCUGUGUUAUGUGACGGUUUCUUAUAUAUAGGAUUAUCGUGUUUCUAUCUUUAGAGUGGCACAUUUUUUACAAUUUUCUGAUGAAUGUUCAUUUUGCUUUGCUUUAUUUAUGGGUUUAGCUUAUCUGUUCACAUGCCGUGUCUAAUUAUGUUUUUUUUUUCUUCCCUUUUCUCUAGUUUAAAUGGUUGUUGUACAUGCAAAACCUUUUUAUGUCUAUUAUUCAUACUCGUGAAUUUUUAUUUUGCUCUGCCCAAAUUGUUUGUGGAUUUGGCUUGUUUUUUUAUUUUUUUCCCUUAAAAUGCUCCUAGCCCGUGGUUUUAGUUGUGGUGGUACAUCUUUUUAUUUACCUCUAUGGCCUUUGCCCUUACAAAGUUACAAUUAUACUUUUGUACGUAUUUUGAAAGCUGUGUUGUGUUACUUUGUAGUGACACACCGACGAUUUCUUUGGUUUUUAAGUAAUGCCAAGCAUCAUAAAUGUUUUUGUCAAUAAACUAUUUUUGUUACUAUAUAAUUUUCUCAAAUGAUGGUUGUGAAAUGAAUUGAGUUAGCGAAUGGAUGUUUGAUUCAGAUCUAUCAUCGCUUAUUGGGUGCAGAUGCUUUAUAUGCUUCUGGUGAUUGUGUGAUUGCAGACUAUGUGCUCUAGUGUAAUAAAUUUAUCAGCUUGUCCUUUUACAGCCUGUUGAGCUUUGAUUCAUUUGUUUUAAUAGUGAAAGGCAGUGAGAUAAAUUAGUUUUGUACUUUUGGCUGGAUUAUCUUGGCUAAUAGGAUUGUUGUUUUUGUUAUGUAGUUUUGAAUUUUGGUGAUAUUUAGUAGCUGGCUUUGUAUUAAGUUACUCCUUCUUACUGAUGGUUUCAAAAAAAAAAGGGGGGUUUUCUUUUUCUGAUUUUGUUUUAUUUGCAGAAUCAAUAUUUUCUAUUACCCCAUGGUUUUGUUGAUUAUCUAACUAUGUCGCGGAUUCUACUUUGUUUGCCCAAUAAGGAUUUUAAUUGAUUAAAGAGUCUCUGCAUUGAGGGUUUUGUGUUAAGUUGUUCCUUUUUGGCCAAUUUUUUCCUUGGUAACAAUCACAGUGUAUUUUGAAUAUUGUCUAUUAGAAAUUCUGAAAAUCGACUGUUUUACUACUAGUAUUUUGCCUUAGUUCAUAGCCCACAUCUUAGGUUGACAUUUCUUCAUACGUUAAGGGUUUGAUUAUCAGUUGUACUAUUAUUCUUUAAAUUUGCACAUCAUGAUCUAAGUAAAAUUUAUUUUAAAUUGUUGUAUCAACCAUUUUUCUUCCAAAGAUAUAUAGGCUUUACAAAGUUCUUAACAUGAUCGAAUUUUUGAGGCAGUCACAUUGAUUCAUUAGUCUGCUGCUUAACUGAUCCUAUGUUGUAUGACUUUUUUUGAGACAUCACUUUGCUGGUUUCAAGUUGCUCAUGAUUGCAACUAAUUGAAAUAUGUUGUCGCCUAUCGAUAUUCUUGAGCUUCACUAAAUCCGUGGUUUUAUUACUCCUUAAGUGCGCUGCAUUGUAAUGGUGGUUGAGUAAUGAAAUUCAAAACUUUGCUAGAUUAGUGGUAUUGUUUCCCAACUAAUGGCAUUUUGUUUGUUUAUCAAUUGGUGUAUAUGUAGCACAUUUGUUAGUUUAUUAUUUGGGAUUGUCGAUUGCUAACCUAAAGGAUGGCUAGGGCCAAUGCUAUGUUUGAGUAAGCGAAACUAUUCAUACUAAUAUGCUGCUUUCACAAUGCCCUUAAAGAGCCUUGUAGAUCGAUUAAAUUCCUUCCUUCUGUUUAACCUUCCUACCUCUUAUCACUUGACAUUUAAGGUUAAUAUGCAUAAUAUGAUUUGAAAAUGUUUUGCUGGCUAUAUCUUGCAUGCUUGGUUUGAUGUGGUGGUUAUGUUUGUCUCUAAAUCUGGAAUCUGGCCAUGUAUAUUAUGCUUAAUUCUUCACCUUGCCUCUCUUUUUUCUCAUCCUUAUCCACCACAUAAUUGAACUCGAACUCUUGGAAUCUCAUAUGAUUGUGCUUUUUAAUUAUUGCUUUAUGUUUUGGGUGUAUUGUUGGAAUUUGUGUUACUCUAUAUGUUUUACACUUUUGGCUAUGUUAUUUGGACUCCACUUAGAGUUUGUAGUGUGCUUUUGAAAUUUUUCGUAUCAUUCUAAUUAUGCAAUUUGUUCUUUGUGAUUGAUGGUGCUUCAUAUCGAUUCCUUUUGUUACAUUGUAUAUGUGAAUAUUAAGAAAAUGUACAGCAUUUGAUCGUUGCAUAAUAUCUGCAAAAUAUUUUUCUUUAUGCAUUGGGUUCAAUUUGUAUCUGGAUAUAAUAUUAUAUAGUUAAAGUGCAUAAGUUCUUUCCUACAACUUUGCUCAGAUAGCUUGAUUUUUAGCCUUGUUCUUAUCUAUUUGUGCAAAUUAUUAAACUUAUGGUGUCAUGAUGUGGUCAUACUUCUUUCGGAUAAGGUUGUCUCAAUGUUCUUUUCUUUCCUUAUUCCUAAAUGCAUCAUUUCUUGCAUCAGGGUCUAGUUGUACGAAAUAGAUGUGACUUGUACUGCCGAAGAGGCAAAAUAAAUAGUAAGUUGGUUUGAAAUUCGGGGACCGAAUUUCUAAAGGAGGGAAGAAUGUAAUAGCUCAAAAAAAAAAAAAACAAAUUUGUGGGCCACUCUUCCUUUACUUUUUCCCUAACCCUAAUCACACAAAAACACUCUCUCUCAACCCUCAAUCCCUCACUAGCCGUCGAACUCCCAACCCCGCUCCUCACACACCCUCUUCGUAGAAAUACACACUCACGGACGCACUCCCCUCGCUCACCCUCACGCCGUCGCUCAUCCCCACACACACGCACCUACACUGACGCGGAGAAGAGAGGGAGGUCGCUGCUGCCGUUCAUGCCCAUCGUUGCCAACUGCACCGUCGCGGAGGAGCGUCUCUGUCGUCGCGAGCUGCAACCGCCGCCAUUGAAGCCACCCUCGCCGUCGUCCUUGAGCGCUAGUGAGAGAGAGAGCUCAAGGAAGAGAGGAACGCUGUCCCGCCAUGCACCGUCGUCACUGGAGCUGCACCGCCGCCGAAGACCCGCCGCCGUCCAUGGAGAGUCGUCGUCGUCUGGGUCGCUGCCGGGGGAAGAGAGCUUGCACAAGGGGUUGUUGGAGUGGCUCACCGCUGCCGCAAGAGCCACUGCACCUCUGGCCGCUGGGAAGUCACAUUGAGGUCGCCGUUCUUCUGCCGCCGCCGCUGUCGGGGUUUCUGGUCAAUGGGUAUGGUGCUGUUGUUGCCGGAACCACCACCGGUGCUGUCGCUACUUGUUUCCCUUAAGUCUGAGUCGUUGUAGUUGCUGAGAAAGUGAUUUGGAGCUGAGGUUGUGCCUGCCGCAAUUUCGGGUUGAGAGGAAAGGUUCCGUCGGUGCGUUUGGAUUAUAGUUUCAACAAUCGAGAACUAUAACCAGCUCUAUCUUGUCGCUACUCCGGUUCAAAUUCUACGCUCAUUCGUUCCAUUCCACUUCAAUCCUCCUUACCUUGAAUUUGGC
This 5444-nucleotide long non-coding RNA is filed under the name Arachis ipaensis. RNAcentral's name for it is "long non-coding RNA (AIPA_LNC000687)". Lineage: Eukaryota; Viridiplantae; Streptophyta; Magnoliopsida; Fabales; Fabaceae. The record is from RNAcentral.